GACGAACGCUGGCGGCGUGCCUAACACAUGCAAGUUGAGCGACCAACCAAGGCUUGCCCUGGGGCAAAGCAGCGAACGGGUGAGUAACAAGUAGGUAGCCUACCCCGCUAACCGGGACGGACCAAGGCAACUCGCGCUAAUACCGGAUGUGUUCUCUGUACUUCGGUUUGGUGCGUAAAUGAAGCUUCGGUUUCCGUAUCCUGAGAGGCCCGCGCCCCAUUAGUUUGUUGGUUAGGUAACGGCUUACCAAGACAGCGAUGGGUAGCUGGUCUGAGAGGGUGAUCGGCCACACUGGGACUGAGACACGGCCCAGACUCCUACGGGAGGCAGCAGUGGGGAAUCUUGCGCAAAGCGCGAAAGCGUGACGGAGCAACGCCGCGUGGGGGAAGAAGGUCUUCGGGUUGUAAACCCCUUUUAGGAGGGAAGAAGGUACGUCUGUGUAUAGAUGCACGUAUUGACGGUACCUAAACAGGAAGCCCCGGCUAACUACGUG
Molecule: ribosomal RNA, 493 nt
Filed under: uncultured bacterium
Lineage: Bacteria
Description: partial 16S ribosomal RNA
Rfam family: Bacterial small subunit ribosomal RNA
Source: RNAcentral